RNAcentral lists this ribosomal RNA (698 nucleotides) under uncultured bacterium. RNAcentral's name for it is "bacterial SSU rRNA". It matches the Rfam family "Bacterial small subunit ribosomal RNA", at positions 8 to 692 of the family's 1533-position model. The record is from RNAcentral.
AGAGUUUGAUCCUGGCUCAGAUUGAACGCUGGCGGCAUGCCUAACACAUGCAAGUCGAACGGUAACAGGAACUAGCUUGCUAGUUUGCUGACGAGUGGCGGACGGGUGAGUAACACGUAGGAAUCUGCCCUGCAGCGGGGGAUAGCCCGAGGAAACUCGGAUUAAUACCGCAUACGCUCUACGGAGGAAAGAGGGCCUCUUCUUGAAAGCUCUCACUGCAGGAUGAGCCUACGUCCGAUUAGCUAGUUGGUGGGGUAAAGGCCUACCAAGGCGACGAUCGGUAGCUGGUCUGAGAGGAUGAUCAGCCACACCGGGACUGAGACACGGCCCGGACUCCUACGGGAGGCAGCAGUGGGGAAUAUUGGACAAUGGGCGCAAGCCUGAUCCAGCAAUGCCGCGUGUGUGAAGAAGGCCUGCGGGUUGUAAAGCACUUUUAUUGGGGAAGAAACGGCCUAGGCUAAUAACCUAUGGCAAUUGACGGUACCCAAGGAAUAAGCACCGGCUAACUCCGUGCCAGCAGCCGCGGUAAUACGGAGGGUGCAAGCGUUAAUCGGAAUUACUGGGCGUAAAGCGUGCGUAGGCGGCUACUUAAGUCGGAUGUGAAAGCCCCGGGCUUAACCUGGGAAUUGCAUUCGAUACUGGGUAGCUAGAGUUUGGUAGAGGUAAGUGGAAUUCCAGGUGUAGCGGUGAAAUGCGUA